CGAUACUGAGAUUAUUGAGGGUUUUUAGCAUAAGGGGCUGUUGAAUUUUGUCAAAGGUCUUCUCUGUGUCAAUUGAGAUAAUCAUGUGGUUUUUGUUUUUGGUUCUGUUUAUGUGGUGAAUUACGUUUAUAGACUUGUGUAUGUUGAACCAGCCUUUCAUCCCUGGGAUGAAUCCUACUUAUCAUGACGAAGAAGUUUUUUGAUGUGCUGUUGCAAUAGGCUUGCCAGGAUUGUGUUGAAGAUUUUUUUUAGAGUAAUUUAAGGAUUUUAUUCAAAGAUAAAUCAUUUACAUAUAAAGGGGCUGAUUCUUUUUUUAUUCACAUUUCUAUAGAUGCUACAAUAUGCAUAACCCAAAAGCAAUGAGGCAUGUUGAUGUUCCAGAGAGAGCUUUGGACUUGGAGUCAGAAGACCUGUGUGAAGUCCCAACUCUGCCACUUACCAGCCAUGCCAACAUGGAACGGUCAUGCAACAGUUCAUUUUAUAAGUGCAAAAUGGCACGUGCAUUCCUAGUGGAAGUCUUCGUGAAUAUAAGGAUGGCUGUGGCAAAGGUACAGAUGCGAGAAACUGCCAUAUAAAUGAAUGUUUAAAUAAGGAAGUCAGUGGAUGUUCUCAAGAUUGUCAGGACCUUCCAGUCAGUUAUAAGGUAGCAAUUCAUCAAAAGUAGCAAUUCAUAUAAUACAGUAGAAUUUGAGAUCAAGAAACUAGUUAAUUCAAUAUAGAUGAAAAACUUAAAAGCCAUCAUGUUAUAAAACUAAUUAUAUGGAGAGUGUUUAUAUAAAGAUAAUAUAAUAAUAGUGUGGAAUGAACAUUGUGAGAAUAUAGUUAAGAAGACAAAAAUAAAAUUACAGCACUUUUCAACAUAUUCAGAGCAGAAAAGACAUAAAUAAACCAGGGAAGACUAGUGUUCAGGGUCAGUAGUGCUAUGUCAAUAGCUAUAUGAAUAUGUAUUUAACUCUUAAAUUUCCAUUUCUGUCCUCAUUCUGUCUUCAGUACAUCUUUGAAGUGGAAUGGACUAAUCAUUUAUUUACUACAAUAGCGUAGAAUACAAUAUUUUUCAUGCAAACGAAAAAGAAAAAAUAAACAUGGAUAUUUGAAAAAUAAAACAUGAACAUUUAGUGUGAAUACACUAAAAAUAAAUCACAUGUAAUAUUCUAAUUGCUUUUUGUAAGUACCAUUUCCCUGAAGAUGGUGAUUCACUGACAGAACUGGUGGACAGAAAUAGCUUCUAAAACCAUCUCUGUUUCAGUGUGUUGGAAUGUUGGACACAGACUAACAUCUGGUUGAAAUGUAAAGUUGUGUAUUAUGUUAAAAGCAAUUUUAUAAGUGUCAGAAAACCUCAUGAAGAGCAAUUCAUUUGAAAAUUAGUGUUUUUAAUGAAGGAACGAUUCAGCAUGAAUCUUCAAUAGGGCAUAACUUCUAUAAACAACAGAGGCAGUCUAAUGAAAACUAGGACCAUUACAGGGAUUCUAUUUUCUUCCACUGUGUCCUGCCUGGGAGUACAGAGCAUAUUUAUUGACAUGACAUUGGAUCAAGAGAAACCAUGAUGAACUGGAAUGUAUCCAACUCUCAUACUGUCAUUAUGCUUUUAAACCCAAAACUUAUCAACUCAAAACUUCUUCUUCAGAAGUAUUGCAUAGAUCAAAGAUGAUUUACUAACUGUAUUCACAUACCGUAUACGAAGUACUGUAAUAGGGAACAUACUUAAUCUGGGUUGUUUAAAAGAUUGGAAUUCAGAGUGGGAAAGCAGAUUUUGUUCAACACAAGGAAGACAUUUUUCAACAUCAGAACCCUUUAUAGAGGAAUUAACCACUUAGCAUAUCACCAAUGAAAGUAUUUCUGCAGUGGCUAAAUGGCCUUCAAUACAGGAUGGUAAAGAAUUUGUGUAUGGCAAAGAUUUUGGUUCAUUGUUUCUGCCAGCGUUAGCAUGUUAUGACAAGUCAGUUCUGUCUAAUCGUAUAUUCCACUAAACAACCAAUUUGCAGUUUUUAAGUUCUGAAUUUCUGGUAUUAUUAGUUACAUUGGUUAAGAUUUUACCAUAUAUAGACAUAAGCUAAGAAUCGUGAUAAUCGAUUCCUCCCUGCAAUAAUUAGAGAUAAAAAUCUGAAACAUUAAGAAAGCUAGCUAGCUAGAUAGUUGAUAGAUAGAUAGAUAGAUAGAUAGAUAGAUAGAUAGGUAUAGGCUCUCUCUCUCUCUUUCUAUAUAUAUAUAUAUAUAUGUAUGUAUACACACACACACAUAUAUCUGAGUAAAAGCUUUAUGUACAAAAAGAUGCUUCUAUUAAGUUGGGAAAAUAUGUGAGCCAAUAGAUUUCUCUUUCCAGGAAAUGGGAAAAACUAUCCAGCAACCUAUUUCUCCUUGUUAUAUAACAAGAACAUGACAAAAAAUCAUCGUCCAAAUCUUACAAUGAAAUGAAAACUGCUUAGAAAGCAAACUUUAGACCUUAUGGACUG
This is a long non-coding RNA of Callithrix jacchus (white-tufted-ear marmoset), 2450 nucleotides long. The record is from Ensembl. NCBI's taxonomy places the organism in Eukaryota, Metazoa, Chordata, Mammalia, Primates, Cebidae.